This 496-nucleotide ribosomal RNA is filed under the name uncultured bacterium. RNAcentral describes it as "bacterial SSU rRNA". It matches the Rfam family "Bacterial small subunit ribosomal RNA", at positions 30 to 524 of the family's 1533-position model. The record is from RNAcentral.
AUUGAACGCUGGCGGCAUGCCUUACACAUGCAAGUCGAACGGCAGCACGGGAGCUUGCUCCUGGUGGCGAGUGGCGAACGGGUGAGUAAUACAUCGGAACGUACCCUGAAGUGGGGGAUAACGUAGCGAAAGUUACGCUAAUACCGCAUAUUCUGUGAGCAGGAAAGAGGGGGAUCGCAAGACCUCUUGCUUUAGGAGCGGCCGAUGUCGGAUUAGCUAGUUGGUGAGGUAAAGGCUCACCAAGGCGACGAUCCGUAGCGGGUCUGAGAGGAUGAUCCGCCACACUGGGACUGAGACACGGCCCAGACUCCUACGGGAGGCAGCAGUAAGGAAUAUUGCUCAAUGGGGGAAACCCUGAAGCAGCAACGCCGCGUGAGGGAUGAAGGGCUUUUGCUUGUAAACCUCUGUAGUGAGGGAAAAAAUUUCCAACUCUGUGGAAUAUGAUGGUACCUCAAAAGUAAGCCCCGGCUAACUACGUGCCAGCAGCCGCGGUAAU